This is a small nucleolar RNA of Salvia splendens (bonfire salvia), 95 nucleotides long. RefSeq annotates it as small nucleolar RNA Z279/snoR105/snoR108. NCBI's taxonomy places the organism in Eukaryota, Viridiplantae, Streptophyta, Magnoliopsida, Lamiales, Lamiaceae. The transcript has a single exon. The record is from RefSeq and is a predicted model, not a curated record.
GGGAUGUGUUGAGUGGUCCAUGCUCGCAAAUAAGGGCGUCUGCUCCGCCUGUUUUUACGACAAUAAGGCGCUCUCAUCUUAACCAAUCUGUUCCC